Macaca mulatta (Rhesus monkey) is the source of this 1647-nucleotide non-coding RNA. The record is from RefSeq and is a predicted model, not a curated record. NCBI's taxonomy places the organism in Eukaryota, Metazoa, Chordata, Mammalia, Primates, Cercopithecidae.
CAAGAGGCGGGCCACGGGCGACGUCAUUCAGGAAAGCCGCCCUGAUUGGAAGGAAGGAGGCGGAGUCUAGUUUCCCUGGUGACGGGUUGUCCGGUGGUCGCCUGGUAACCGGUCGUGGCUGUACUGGCUGCUGCAGGGCUGGCGGCUUAGGCCGCAGAGGUCUGUGGGCCUGAGCCCACGCUGCACUCUGUCCGUCCUGCGAUGACUGCUGCCCUGGCCGUCGUCACGACGUCGGGUUUGGAAGAUGGGGUGCCUAGGUCCCGUGGCGAAGGGACCGGGGAAGUGGUCGUGGAGCGGGGGCCCGGCGCGGCCUACCACAUGUUCGUGGUGAUGGAGGACUUGGUGGAGAAGCUGAAGCUGCUCCGCUACGAGGAGGAGUUCCUCCGGAAGAGCAACCUGAAGGCCCCGUCCAGACACUAUUUUGCACUGCCUACCAACCCUGGUGAACAGUUCUACAUGUUUUGUACUCUUGCUGCUUGGUUGAUUAAUAAAGCAGGACGUCCCUUUGAGCAGCCUCAAGAAUAUGAUGACCCUAAUGCCACGAUAUCUAACAUACUAUCCGAGCUUCGGUCGUUUGGGAGAACUGCAGAUUUUCCUCCUUCAAAAUUAAAGUCAGGUUAUGGAGAACAUGUAUGCUAUGUUCUUGAUUGCUUAGCUGAAGAAGCAUUGAAAUAUAUUGGUUUCACCUGGAAAAGGCCAAUAUACCCAGUAGAAGAAUUAGAAGAAGAAACUGUUGCAGAAGAUGAUGCAGAAUUAACAUUAAAUAAAGUGGAUGAAGAAUUUGUGGAAGAAGAGACAGAUAAUGAAGAAAACUUUAUUGAUCUCAACGUUUUAAAGGCCCAGACAUAUCACUUGGAUAUGAACGAGACUGCCAAACAAGAAGAUAUUUUGGAAUCCACAACAGAUGCUGCGGAAUGGAGCCUAGAAGUGGAACGUGUACUACCGCAACUGAAAGUCACGAUUAGGACUGACAAUAAGGAUUGGAGAAUCCAUGUUGACCAAAUGCACCAGCACAAAAGUGGAAUUGAAUCUGCUCUAAAGGAGACCAAGGGAUUUUUGGACAAACUCCAUAAUGAAAUUACUAGGACUUUGGAAAAGAUCGGCAGCCGAGAAAAGUACAUCAACAAUCAGCUUGAGAAUUUGGUUCAAGAAUAUCGUGCAGCUCAAGCCCAGCUGAGUGAGGCAAAGGAGCGAUACCAACAGGGAAACGGAGGAGUAACGGAAAGAACCAGACUCCUCUCUGAGGUUAUGGAAGAAUUAGAAAAGGUAAAACAAGAAAUGGAAGAAAAGGGCAGCAGCAUGACUGAUGGUGACAAAUAUACUAGCUCAUAAAAUCAUCUUGAACACAUCCUUAAACACCUGUUUAGCAGCUCUUCCCCUAGAAAAGGAAGAAAGUUUAGUCUCAGUACAUCAAAUACUACAUCAUUUUUCAUCCUAAAAAAUCUCAGCUCCUUUGGUGAAGAUUAAACAGAGCUUAACAAAACUGAAACAAGAAACUGUAGAGAUGGACAUUAGAAUUGGCAUUGUGGAACACACACUACUCCAAUCAAAGCUGAAGGAGAAGUCCAACAUGACUAGGAACAUGCAUGCCACAGUUAUUCCAGAACCAGCAACAGGCUUUUAUUAAAACGUACUGGUUUUCAUGUU